UACGUAGGUGGCAAGCGUUAUCCGGAUUUAUUGGGCGUAAAGGGAACGCAGGCGGUCUUUUAAGUCUGAUGUGAAAGCCUUCGGCUUAACCGGAGUAGUGCAUUGGAAACUGGGAGACUUGAGUGCAGAAGAGGAGAGUGGAACUCCACGUGUAGCGGUGAAAUGCGUAGAUAUAUGGAAGAACACCAGUGGCGAAAGCGGCUCUCUGGUCUGUAACUGAUGCUGAGGUUCGAAAGCGUGGGUAGCAAACAGG
Molecule: ribosomal RNA, 253 nt
Filed under: uncultured bacterium
Lineage: Bacteria
Description: partial 16S ribosomal RNA
Rfam family: Bacterial small subunit ribosomal RNA
Source: RNAcentral